GCAAAUGGUGGAGGGUUAACCAUUUUCAAAUGCAUGGGACGUACAAUAGGAAAGUCAACAUCUCGUGUUCGUAGCACAGAAGAAUGGUCCCAAGCACAUUUAUAUGUGUUGACUAAUUGUGAGGAAGUGACGUCAUUUAUUGAAGAGCAUAAGCAAUCUAUAAGGGUUAAGCCUCGUAUUCGUGCACGAGAUGUAGAUUUGAUUCACAGAAGAGAAUUCAUUAGUUGGUUUGAAGAACGUAUUAUACAAAUGCGACAUGAAGGUCCAAUUUCUGAACACAUACUAUCAUUGUCUCGUGGACCAAGUACAUCAAUUACAUGUUAUAGAGGAUACAUCAUUAAUGGGUUCAGAUUUCACACAAGAG
This is a long non-coding RNA of Vitis riparia (riverbank grape), 364 nucleotides long. RefSeq lists it as uncharacterized. Lineage: Eukaryota; Viridiplantae; Streptophyta; Magnoliopsida; Vitales; Vitaceae. The record is from RefSeq and is a predicted model, not a curated record. The transcript is spliced from 3 exons.